Long non-coding RNA from Vigna radiata var. radiata (mung bean), 697 nucleotides. RefSeq lists it as uncharacterized. The record is from RefSeq and is a predicted model, not a curated record. Lineage: Eukaryota; Viridiplantae; Streptophyta; Magnoliopsida; Fabales; Fabaceae. The transcript is spliced from 2 exons.
UAUCAGGAAUAAAACAUAAGAAAACAUUCUACCAUUCAUAUUUUGUGUGUGUUUCCUGAAUGCUAUUACUGUUACAUUGGGGCUCUAGUGCGGCGAACAUGGCAGAGAAUAGAGAAGCAAAUAGAACACACUCCGAGAUCAGAAAAUACGGUGGAUGUCUUGCUAAAGCAGAAUCGGGAGUGCUGGAAGAAACCUCCAUCAAAAUGGCCAAGCAUCUAGCUCCGGUGGCGACAAUACGAACCACCCACCAUUUCAGGGUUCAAGAGGAUUGAGAGAAAGGCAAGGAGAGUUCCAUGGUUCCUUCGAGAAAAUGCACUAAGAGGCUCGAUUCAACGGAUCAGAGGCUGCCUACAAAGGAUUGAUGCUACAAAAGGGGUUGAUUGAGGGGCGCGGACAAAAUCCUUUGUUAAAGCUGGUGUGCAGUCACUCGAAGAGGAGCUGGGUUUUUCUUUCACUUCCUUUUUCCUUCCUUUAGUUUUUCUAUAAAAAAGGUUGUAUAAUAGUUUUUCUAUGGGGUUAGUUUUGGUUACUUUAGGUUAUUUUCAGUUUGAGGGUGAUCAGGAGAUGAUAGUUUUGGUUAAAUCACAAGUUAGCUGAAGCUUCUUCUAGCUUUUCUCCCUGUACUAACGCAUUUUUUUAUCCUGUUUGCAAUGCUUUUAGAUUCAUAGUUGUUGAGUUAGACUCAGGUGACAGCUUU